RNAcentral lists this long non-coding RNA (575 nucleotides) under Carica papaya (papaya). Its description in RNAcentral is "long non-coding RNA (CPAP_LNC002868)". The record is from RNAcentral. Lineage: Eukaryota; Viridiplantae; Streptophyta; Magnoliopsida; Brassicales; Caricaceae.
AGAGGUAAACUUGGAUGAAGAUUAAGAUUUUCUGUAGGGAGAAAUAAGCUUUGAAGCGGUUGAAGAUGAGCGAGACGAGAACCAGAGGGAUCAAGAUGAAGGCUAAGGAGACGAAGGAGGCAAUAGUGGGAGCGUAUUUGUUGCCGACGUAAGGUUUAAAUCCUCUUGUGAUUUGUUUGUUGGCUUUGGUGAUGUAAGCCUUUGAAGUUGUUGAAAUUUUCUCCAGGUCUGGUAAUAGAGUUUGCUGAAAUCUAAUGGGUAGAUCUCUGAAUUCCGAUACUAAAUCGUCAUCUUCCUGAUCAAGCCAAAAGGGUAGUAUCUUCUGAGUCUUUUCCUUGUUGGGUUUUUUGGUUUCUGCGUUUUGAUUCUUCUUGGACUCUGAUGAAUCUUUAUUCUUUUCUGUAAUUGUGGGUUUCUCUGAUUUUGGGGAAGUGGGUUUAGUUGUCUUGUUCUUUGGUGAGCUCAGAUUGAGCAGAUCUGAGGAUUUCUUAGAAGAUAACAAACUGGCUUUGGUAGAGUUUGACGCUUUGGAGGUGGAAUUAAGCUUUUUGAGCUUAAUUGAAGUUGAAUUCAGC